AUGGCGUCGCGGGCCGCCUUCCUCCUGCCCGCGGCGUCGGGUCCCGGCUGGCUCUUGCUCCGGCGCUCCGCCCGGCGCCCUUGUGGCCCCCCCGGCGACUCCUCCUCCCCUACCCACCAGCGGCCCGUGGGAUCUGGUGGGCACGAUCGUGCUGGCGGCGGAUCUGGGCAUCCGGGCCCAGAUCCGGUGGAUGUGCGGAUCUUCGAUGGCGGGGCAAAAACAAAAUCCUUCCUGCUGAUGGCAGGAGUUUUGGAUGCUUUGGCAUCUUAUGUCAGCAACAUGCUCACUGAGAUGGCAAUUGAAGAAGUGGCCAUGUUGAUUGGGGUCUCUAGCGGGAUUGAUGACCUAAGCGUCAAGCUCAGGGACCUAAAAAAUGUCCUUGCAGAUGCCGAUAAGAGGAACAUCACAGACGAGAGUGUGCGGGAGUGGGUGGAGGAACUGAAGCACGCCAUGUAUCGCGCCACUGACAUCCUCGACCUGUGCCAGCUCAGAGUCAUGGAGCAAGGUCCAUCCAGGGACAUGGGGUGCCUUAACCCACUCCUCUUCUGCAUGCGACAUCCCCUCCAUGCCCACGAGAUCGGGAGCCGCAUCAAGGUGCUCAACCAAAAGCUAGAUGAAAUCUCCAAGAGGGGCGGUAGUUUCAAUUUUAUCAAGCUGGAAGCCUACCAAAACCGAAAGACAACCAACCCUCCUCCUGUCAACCGCAAGACAAAUCCGCUGCUGGAGCGAUCAAGUGUGGUCGGGGAGAAGAUUGAAGAUGAUACAAGGGCACUUGUCCAUAUGCUCAUGAUGGAGUCAGGAGACAAGAGUGAUAGCAUCAUGGUGUUUGCCAUAGUUGGUGUCGGUGGAAUUGGUAAGACUACCCUCAGCAAGAAGGUCUUUAAUGAUGAGGCCAUUCAAGACAAGUUCACCACAAAGAUAUGGUUGAGUGUCACACAAGAGUUCAGCGAGGUUGAGCUGUUGCAGACGGCCAUCACUUCCGCCAAUGGAAGCUUGCCAGGGCCAGGUUGUGGGUCUCAAGACAAAGCUUUGCUUGUGCCAGCUCUUGCGAGCGCUAUCAGAGACAAGAAGAUAUUUCUUGUGUUGGAUGACAUGUGGAGCACCAAUGAAUGGACCAACUUGCUGAAGGCUCCCUUUAGCCACAGCGCCCCUGGUAGCGGAGUCCUCAUCACAUCAAGACAUGAAGCCAUUGCUCGAGGCAUGAAAGCUGUGCAUCCUUACCACCAUGUUGACAAAUUAGAGCCUGAAGAUGCUUGGUCAUUGCUCAAGAAGCAGGUACUCACAACAGAGAAUGCUGAACCUGCAGUUGAUAUGCUUAAGGAUAUAGGAUUGCAAAUCGUAGAAAAAUGUGACGGGUUACCGCUUGCCAUAAAAGUGAUGGGAGGACUCCUAUGCCAGAAGGACAAAGAACGGCGUGAUUGGGAAAAGGUUUUGCAUGAUUCUACAUGGUCAGUAAGUCGUAUGCCAGAAGAGCUAAACAAUGCAAUAUAUCUUAGCUACGAGGACUUGUCUCCAUGUUUAAAACAAUGCUUUCUGCAUUUCUCCCUUAAGCCUAAAAGGAUAAGUUUUACCCACACACAGUUUGUGGGAAUGUGGAUCGGUGAAGGAUUUGUUCAUGGGGACUCUGAUAGAUUGGAAGAAUUAGGAAAUGAGUACCAUAAGGAGCUAAUAUUGAGGAACCUUAUAGAGCCGGAUCCGAUGUAUUCCAGUCAAACUAUUUGCCACAUGCAUGAUGUUGUUCGAUCAUUUGCUCAGUUUUUGACUAGAGAUGAAGCACUAAUAGGUCAUAGUGGAGAAAUUCUUAAUAGCAAACUUAGCCUGCCAAAGUUUCUUAGGUUAUCUGUAGAAACCAAAGGCGGGCAAUCUGAUGGAUUUGAGUGGAGAUGUUUACAAGAGCAAAAAUCGCUAAGAUCGAUAAUAAUAAUUGGGAAUUUCAAGAUUCAGUCUGGUGAUUCGCUGAUGAGCUUUUCAAGUCUUCGAACUCUACAUAUAGAGUCUGCAAAUUUUGCUGCAUUGACCGAAUCUCUAUAUCAGCUCAAACACCUGAGGUAUCUAACACUACAAAACUGCAAUGAUAUAAACAGCCUGCCAGAGGACAUUCACAAGGUAAAAUUCCUACAGCACCUUGGUCUUGAAGGUUGUAGGAGUCUGGUGAAACUUCCUGACAGCAUUGUCAAGUUAGAGGAACUGCGAUUUCUUGACCUUGACGACACAUGUGUAAAUAGUAUGCCUAGGGGUUUCUGUGCCUUGACAAAUCUAAGGGAACUAUAUGGGUUCCCAGCCCGCGUGGAUGGUGAUUGGUGUAGUUUGGAUGAGUUGGGACCUCUUUCUCACCUCAUUCAUCUCGGAUUGAAGGGUUUGGAGAAUGUAGCCGUUACCUCGUCCGCCUUGAAGGCCAUGCUUGUUGCAAAGGUACAUCUUACGUUAAUGAAAUUACACUGCACCAAUACACUUGACAACAAUAGAAGAGUACCCUCUGAGAAGGAACAAGGAAUAAUUGAGGAGGUGUUUGAUGAACUCUAUCCUCCGUCUUGCAUCGAAAAUAUUAACAUCCAAGGAUAUUUUGGUCGCCAGCUCCCAAGAUGGAUGAUGUCGAUGGCAACAUCGCCUCUCAAGAGCUUGAGGUUUCUAACAAUGCAUGAACUUGUUUGUUGCACCCAACUCCCUGAUGGCUUGUGUCUGCUCCCACGUCUCGAGCUCCUAGCAGUCGACCGAGCGCCAGCUAUCAAGCGUGUUGGGCCUGAAUUUGUGCAGUCCCCGGACCACCGUCAUCAUCCUUCAUCCCAGGCGACAACUUCUUUUCCAAGACUGCAUCAGAUGAAGCUAAAUGCAUUGGUGCAAUGGGAGGACUGGGAGUGGGAGGAGCAGGUGCAAGCUAUGCCCCUCUUGGAGGAGCUUAGUAUCGUAAGAUGCAAUUUGAGGCGUAUCCCUCCCGGCCUUGCAUCCCAUGCAAGGGCUUUGAAAAAAGUAUAUAUGAGCAACAUCAAGGGCCUUGACUCUGUUGAAAACUUUGGUUCCGUCACUGAGCUCAGGCUGUCUCGCAUGCCGGAGAUGACUAGGAUCUCUAAUCUUCCCAAAUUGCAGAAUCUUGAGAUCAGCUUCUGCCCAAAGGUCGAGUUACUUGAGCAGGUGCCUGCACUCAGAAGACUUGUGCUGAAUCUAUGGCACAGUGAGAAACAACUCCCGUUAUACCUGCAGGCUGUGAAGCCAAGUCAUUUUUUGUUGAACUGCAGCCGAAAGGUACUCACCUCCAUGGCUUUGGGAAAAUCUGGCUCGGAGUGGUACAAGUUCAGCCAUAUCCAGCAUGUUGAGGCUUAUGCAAAGGAUGGGGGCAAUGAAAAAAAAUGGCACCUACUGUACACAAGAGAGCCCUACAAGAUCGAUACAAAUGUUGUGCAGGAUUACUCAAAUGAAAAAUAG
This 3420-nucleotide ribosomal RNA is filed under the name Triticum aestivum (bread wheat). RNAcentral's name for it is "partial small subunit ribosomal RNA". The record is from RNAcentral. Lineage: Eukaryota; Viridiplantae; Streptophyta; Magnoliopsida; Poales; Poaceae.